This is a small nucleolar RNA of Esox lucius (northern pike), 79 nucleotides long. Ensembl annotates it as small nucleolar RNA SNORD101. NCBI's taxonomy places the organism in Eukaryota, Metazoa, Chordata, Actinopteri, Esociformes, Esocidae. The record is from Ensembl.
GCUUGUAUGAUGAUUUUCUUUCUUUAGUCGGAUACCCCUUCACUCUUAAUCAUGAGUGAGACUUUUAAAUCUGACAAGC